Molecule: long non-coding RNA, 178 nt
Organism: Cryptotermes secundus
Lineage: Eukaryota; Metazoa; Arthropoda; Insecta; Blattodea; Kalotermitidae
Exons: 3
Source: RefSeq, a predicted model, not a curated record
GUUGGUGUUGUGUUUGUUUCGUGUGUGCAGUUUCGUAUUACAUCUGAAAGAGCUACAGUUUUCAGUCCAUGUUUCAGUUUCCAGCGUUAACAAAGCAGCCAUGAGCACAUCGCCCCAGAAGCUUAGGGACAAAUAAGAAGAAACAUGGCCUCUAACAUGUCGUCUGCAAAGUAAAAGG